UGUGGUGUGUAGCUCAGUGGUAGAUUGUUUGCCUUGGGUUGUAUGCACAAGGUCCCGGGUUCAAUCCCCAACGCCACAA
RNAcentral lists this transfer RNA (79 nucleotides) under Marmota monax (woodchuck). RNAcentral describes it as "tRNA.Pro". Lineage: Eukaryota; Metazoa; Chordata; Mammalia; Rodentia; Sciuridae. The record is from RNAcentral.